AUUGAACACUGGCGGCAGGCCUAACACAUGCAAGUCGAGCGGAUGAAGGGAGCUUGCUCCUGGAUUCAGCGGCGGACGGGUGAGUAAUGCCUAGGAAUCUGCCUGGUAGUGGGGGAUAACGUCCGGAAACGGGCGCUAAUACCGCAUACGUCCUGAGGGAGAAAGUGGGGGAUCUUCGGACCUCACGCUAUCAGAUGAGCCUAGGUCGGAUUAGCUAGUUGGUGGGGUAAAGGCCUACCAAGGCGACGAUCCGUAACUGGUCUGAGAGGAUGAUCAGUCACACUGGAACUGAGACACGGUCCAGACUCCUACGGGAGGCAGCAGUGGGGAAUAUUGGACAAUGGGCGAAAGCCUGAUCCAGCCAUGCCGCGUGUGUGAAGAAGGUCUUCGGAUUGUAAAGCACUUUAAGUUGGGAGGAAGGACAGUAAGUUAAUACCUUGCUGUUUUGACGUUACCAACAGAAUAAGCACCGGCUAACUUCGUG
Molecule: ribosomal RNA, 484 nt
Filed under: uncultured bacterium
Lineage: Bacteria
Description: partial 16S ribosomal RNA
Rfam family: Bacterial small subunit ribosomal RNA
Source: RNAcentral